RNAcentral lists this ribosomal RNA (497 nucleotides) under uncultured bacterium. Its description in RNAcentral is "partial 16S ribosomal RNA". It matches the Rfam family "Bacterial small subunit ribosomal RNA", at positions 28 to 507 of the family's 1533-position model. The record is from RNAcentral.
GAUGAACGCUGGCGGCGUGCCUAAUACAUGCAAGUCGAGCGAACGGACGAGAAGCUUGCUUCUCUGAUGUUAGCGGCGGACGGGUGAGUAACACGUGGAUAACCUACCUAUAAGACUGGGAUAACUUCGGGAAACCGGAGCUAAUACCGGAUAAUAUUUUGAACCGCAUGGUUCAAAAGUGAAAGACGGUCUUGCUGUCACUUAUAGAUGGAUCCGCGCUGCAUUAGCUAGUUGGUAAGGUAACGGCUCACCAAGGCAACGAUGCAUAGCCGACCUGAGAGGGUGAUCGGCCACACUGGAACUGAGACCCGGUCCAGACUCCUACGGGAGGCAGCAGUAGGGAAUCUUCGGCAAUGGGCGAAAGCCUGACGGAGCAACGCCGCGUGAGUGAUGAAGGUCUUCGGAUCGUAAAACUCUGUUAUUAGGGAAGAACAAAUGUGUAAGUAACUGUGCACAUCUUGACGGUACCUAAUCAGAAAGCCACGGCUAACUACGUG